This 225-nucleotide long non-coding RNA is filed under the name Glycine max (soybean). RNAcentral's name for it is "long non-coding RNA (GMAX_LNC001806)". The record is from RNAcentral. Lineage: Eukaryota; Viridiplantae; Streptophyta; Magnoliopsida; Fabales; Fabaceae.
UGAGCUUAGUUUUUAGAUGGAUGUGUGUAGCUAAGCUCUAGCUUCUCAAGGAAGUUUUCUCAAAGAAGCUUUUCAAGGAAGUUUUCUUAAGAAAGCUUCUCAAGGAAGCUACCUAGUCUAUAAAUAGAAGCAUGUAUAACACUUGUUGUAACUUUGAUGAAUGAGAGUCUUGUGAGACACAACUCAAAGUUCAACUUCUCUCCCUUUUUCUUCCUUCAAUUUCGU